AGAACGAACGCUGGCGGCAGGCUUAACACAUGCAAGUCGAACGCUCCGCAAGGGGAGUGGCAGACGGGUGAGUAACGCGUGGGAACAUACCCCUCGGUUCGGAAUAACUCAGGGAAACUUGAGCUAAUACCGAAUACGGUCGAGAGGCGAAAGAUUUAUCGCCGAGGGAUUGGCCCGCGUCCGAUUAGCUAGUUGGUGAGGUAAUGGCUCACCAAGGCGACGAUCGGUAGCUGGUCUGAGAGGAUGAUCAGCCACAUUGGGACUGAGACACGGCCCAAACUCCUACGGGAGGCAGCAGUGGGGAAUAUUGGACAAUGGGCGAAAGCCUGAUCCAGCCAUGCCGCGUGAGUGAUGACGGCCUUAGGGUUGUAAAGCUCUUUCAUCAGGGACGAUAAUGACGGUACCUGAAGAAGAAGCCCGGCUAACUUCGUGCCAGCAGCCGC
This 443-nucleotide ribosomal RNA is filed under the name uncultured bacterium. RNAcentral's name for it is "SSU rRNA". It matches the Rfam family "Bacterial small subunit ribosomal RNA", at positions 26 to 518 of the family's 1533-position model. The record is from RNAcentral.